This 374-nucleotide ribosomal RNA is filed under the name uncultured bacterium. RNAcentral's name for it is "bacterial SSU rRNA". It matches the Rfam family "Bacterial small subunit ribosomal RNA", at positions 525 to 896 of the family's 1533-position model. The record is from RNAcentral.
ACAGAGGUCUCAAGCGUUGUUCGGAUUCAUUGGGCGUAAAGGGUGCGCAGGCGGCGUGGAAAGUUGAGUGUGAAAUCCUGGGGCUCAACCUCAGAACUGCACUCAAUACUCCCAUGCUAGAGGAAUGUAGAGGAGAGUGGAAUUCACGGUGUAGCAGUGAAAUGCGUAGAUAUCGUGAGGAAGACCAGUUGCGAAGGCGACUCUCUGGGCAUUUCCUGACGCUCAUGCACGAAGGCCAGGGGAGCAAACGGGAUUAGAUACCCCGGUAGUCCUGGCAGUAAACGGUGCACGUUUGGUGUGGGCGGGCUCAGACCCCGUCCGUGCCGGAGCUAACGCGUUAAACGUGCCGCCUGGGAAGUACGGUCGCAAGAUUA